GCUGAAUUAGCUCAGUUGGUAGAGCACAUUCUUGGUAAGAAUGAGGCCCCGAGUUCGAUCCUCGGAUUCAGCUCCA
Molecule: transfer RNA, 76 nt
Filed under: Candidatus Dojkabacteria bacterium
Lineage: Bacteria
Description: tRNA-Thr
Rfam family: tRNA
About the family: Transfer RNA (tRNA) molecules are approximately 80 nucleotides in length.
Source: RNAcentral